Acanthopagrus latus (yellowfin seabream) is the source of this 931-nucleotide long non-coding RNA. RefSeq lists it as uncharacterized. The transcript has 3 exons. Lineage: Eukaryota; Metazoa; Chordata; Actinopteri; Spariformes; Sparidae. The record is from RefSeq and is a predicted model, not a curated record.
GGAGGGCGGUUUCAAGCCCCCCCUUACUACAGAUAAACAACAUCGCCGGAAAGAGGCGAGAGAGCGGCGAAAAACACCGACAGACGGUCGCUGGAGCCGCUUUCGGAGCGUGGAAACGGAUUCCCGAGCGCAGUUAGCGACAGAAAGAGCAAAGGGGCCAACUGGUGUUGAGGCCCUGGGCUGAGCGUGGAGGAAGCUGUAACCCCUGGAAAAAAUCUGUCCAAAAACAUGUGACUUCAAACAUCAGACACAAGCUGAGGAAGGAGGCCUCUGUGGCCCCGUGCUGCCUCCCUGUGGCCGAAAGAAAGACUGCACGGAUACGGCACAGUAUCUGCAACAACGCCGAGUUCAGUUUCCUCAAAACUGACCAAGACUUCACUGGGAAAUUAAACUCCAGCUUUUAAUUGAUCUUAAAUAUCCUCCUCGCUUGCAGGCUGCCAUGAUCUAAAAGUGAGAUUGUUCUGUCAGUGGUUUCAAACUCAUCCUCUCAUACGAGACGUGUGGAUUUUUAGGAAAAAUGUAAAAACAAAUGUAUUAAUUAUUGGUUAGCUAGAACGAUCCUCGGUCCUGCAUUUGAAUGUUUUGGUGUGUAAAUGAUUCAUACUUACUGCUGCAAAGACUGCAACAUAAUUUUCCUCGUGGCAACUCUGACGUCCACUAAAAGUGCUUUUUUUGGUCACUGACAGGCUUAAUAAAUAUUCAUCAUUUACACACCAAAAACAUCUAAAUAUAGAGUUUAAAAAUACUUAAAGACUGCUGGGAAAUACUAAUAUAAUGCAAUAUGAUGCAGAAACACCAACAGUCUUUUUGUCUUCCGUCUCAUUCUGUGAAAUUAAUGUGUAAAAACUGUCCUCACACCUGUAAACAUGUCACCAAGUCAAACUGUACUGAAUUGUUUGUGACUGAAAUAAAAAACCACAGGUCAGUCGAG